Long non-coding RNA from Magnolia sinica, 498 nucleotides. RefSeq lists it as uncharacterized. The transcript has 2 exons. NCBI's taxonomy places the organism in Eukaryota, Viridiplantae, Streptophyta, Magnoliopsida, Magnoliales, Magnoliaceae. The record is from RefSeq and is a predicted model, not a curated record.
CUCUCUCUCUCUCUCUCUCUCUCUCUCUUCCCCUCUCUCCCUCUCCCUCCCUUCACCAGAAACAGCGAGCCAUUGAUCUGAUCGAGCUUCUGACGAUCGGAUUUCGCAGGUGUGGAUCGACUGGAGUUCGGAUCUGGUCCGUACGCUUAGGGAUUGCAUUCAGUCCAUCCAUAAGCCGAGAAAAGCAGAAGAGAAAAAGCAGUAGUGUGCAUUACAAUAUGUCAAGAUGUUGGCUCCAUCUUCAGUAGAAACUGAAUCAGGUAUCCAUGUGCCUAGGCCCUUCAGUUUUUGGAGAAAGUAGGACAAUCUUGAGCUUUAUUUUUAUUUUUUGAAAAGCAUGAUGUUGGGCUUUAUCUGUUUCUUCUCAGUAGUAGCAAUUUAUUGUGUCAGAGAAACAUCUCUACCAAUAUAGAUUUGAGAGGCUGACUUGUCAUCAACCAUGAAAUCUUGAACAUUGUUAUUUGUGAUUUGGCUCUGGAAAUUGGGCUGUUUGGAUGC